GUCCAUAUUGAUUUCGGAACUUGAUGUGGAAGGUUGAACAGAAAUCCACGACAAUCGAGAAUUAGAGAAUUUCGUUAAUUUUUUUAAUUUAAGAGCAUGAGAGCAAAGUGGCGUAAGAAGCGUAUGCGUAGGCUAAAGCGCAAAAGGAGGAAGAUGCGUGCGAGGUCCAAGUAAACUGUUCUUUUUAAUCUCUCUGUAGGAACGACAUAGUAUCACACUGAGAUGUCAUGGUUUCUAGUUAAAUUUACCAGAAGUCUUACAUGCUCUACUACUGUGUAGCAAUCAUUCCAUCAAUGUACCGUUCAUACAGAGAGAUAAUUUUAUAAGUCUUUAUUUUAUUCAUCUUAAAUAAAAUGGAACCUCGAUAUAUACAAA
Molecule: long non-coding RNA, 375 nt
Filed under: Polistes fuscatus (common paper wasp)
Lineage: Eukaryota; Metazoa; Arthropoda; Insecta; Hymenoptera; Vespidae
Description: uncharacterized LOC122519404
Source: RNAcentral